This 346-nucleotide long non-coding RNA is filed under the name Ananas comosus (pineapple). Its description in RNAcentral is "long non-coding RNA (ACOM_LNC011546)". The record is from RNAcentral. Lineage: Eukaryota; Viridiplantae; Streptophyta; Magnoliopsida; Poales; Bromeliaceae.
GUUAUUACAAGAUCAGAGAUUUGAAUCUUCACUUAUGUAUUUCAGAAAAUUAUGGUUAGUUUGGUAUUGAGCCCCAUCUGGCACUAUAAUAAAAUGGAGUUGAAGUAAAAGUAUAUAGAGAUAUGCGUCUGCGUUCUCCGGUAGGAUCACAAAAAAUAUAUCGUAACCGACUCAUCGCAAUAUACAAAACGCAACAUUACAUACGGAAACAAAUAUGAUAUUUUUCCAUCGUACUUUUUCACUACUGCACGUAAAGCAAUCUUUCCACAAUCCCAAACGAAGCAUUAAGGGGCUCGCUUCGCCCGACUUCUCCAAAAGUAUAUACAACUUCACCAAAUAAAUAAAU